This 164-nucleotide ribosomal RNA is filed under the name Podosphaera tridactyla. RNAcentral's name for it is "5.8S ribosomal RNA". It matches the Rfam family "5.8S ribosomal RNA". Rfam says of the family: 5.8S ribosomal RNA (5.8S rRNA) is a component of the large subunit of the eukaryotic ribosome. Lineage: Eukaryota; Fungi; Ascomycota; Leotiomycetes; Helotiales; Erysiphaceae. The record is from RNAcentral.
AAUUAGUAAAACUUUCAACAACGGAUCUCUUGGCUCUGGCAUCGAUGAAGAACGCAGCGAAAUGCGAUAAGUAAUGUGAAUUGCAGAAUUUAGUGAAUCAUCGAAUCUUUGAACGCACAUUGCGCCCCCCGGCAUUCCGAGGGGCAUGCCUGUUCGAGCGUCAG